UGAGUUGGUCAGACGAUCGCUGUCGCAGUGCGGCAGAGGAAAGUCCGGGCUCCAACGGGUCAGGGCGCCAGGUAACGCCUGGGGGGCGCGAGUCCACGGAAAGUGCAGCAGAAAGGAAACCGCCUGCUUGCAGGUAAGGGUGAAAAGGUGCGGUA
RNAcentral lists this RNase P RNA (155 nucleotides) under Halieaceae bacterium. Its description in RNAcentral is "partial RNase P RNA component class A". It matches the Rfam family "Bacterial RNase P class A", at positions 1 to 169 of the family's 367-position model. From Rfam's summary of the family: Ribonuclease P (RNase P) is a ubiquitous endoribonuclease, found in archaea, bacteria and eukarya as well as chloroplasts and mitochondria. Its best characterised activity is the generation of mature 5'-ends of tRNAs by cleaving the 5'-leader elements of precursor-tRNAs. The record is from RNAcentral. Lineage: Bacteria; Pseudomonadati; Pseudomonadota; Gammaproteobacteria; Cellvibrionales; Halieaceae.